This is a long non-coding RNA of Paramormyrops kingsleyae, 649 nucleotides long. RefSeq lists it as uncharacterized. The record is from RefSeq and is a predicted model, not a curated record. Lineage: Eukaryota; Metazoa; Chordata; Actinopteri; Osteoglossiformes; Mormyridae.
GCCAGGCGAAUCAUGCUGUUUUUCGGCGUUAGCGCACUAGGCCAUGGUGGCUAAUUUGUUAGCGAUGCUUGUUGCAGACCUCAUAGUUGGUGUAAAAUGGACUAGUUUUUGCUUUGAACUGUUCAUGUUACGUCCUGGAGCCUUUUAAUCAAGAUUACAAGGUGUUGUUUUCGUCAACGAACCUUUUUGACGUGACGGAGACGAGACGAGACGCAAUGUAAAUGCUGGUCAUGUGACGAUAACUAUAACGAAAUAUAUCGUGUAAUAUUGUUGACGAAUAAAAACGAGACUAAAUUUGGUUUACAAAAAUUUCGUUGACGAAAACAAGACGAGACGUUAUUUCCUCUCGUUUAAUCGCGUUAUUAUUAUUAUGCAGUAUUUCUGUUUCCUAGCUGUGUCUCCCAUUCGGGCACACAGAUGGCGGAGAAAUGCGGCUACAAAAUAUCGGGAAAAAACACCACAAACCUUAAAACCUUAAAAGACAUCCCAAGCCAUUCCACAAUGACAUUGAGAUUCCAGAAACAGCUUCAGUGAAGCAAGUCCCGCGCAAGAAGAUGGACAUUAUUUUAUUUAUUUAUUUCAUUUAAAUUUGUGUGUACUUCUAAGUUCAAACAUGUUUGGUUGGCAAAAUAAAUGUUAUAAAUUCAAA